This 77-nucleotide transfer RNA is filed under the name Gallionellaceae bacterium. RNAcentral's name for it is "tRNA-Pro". It matches the Rfam family "tRNA". From Rfam's summary of the family: Transfer RNA (tRNA) molecules are approximately 80 nucleotides in length. Their secondary structure includes four short double-helical elements and three loops (D, anti-codon, and T loops). The record is from RNAcentral. Lineage: Bacteria; Pseudomonadati; Pseudomonadota; Betaproteobacteria; Nitrosomonadales; Gallionellaceae.
CGGGGCGUAGCGCAGCCUGGUAGCGUACAUCCAUGGGGUGCAGGUGGUCGGAGGUUCGAAUCCUCUCGCCCCGACCA